CCCUCUACAGAGACGUCAUGCAGGAGAACUAUGAGAAUGUGACCUCGCUGGGGUUUCCAGUUUCCAAACCCUACGUGAUCUCCCAGCUGGAAGGAGGGGAAAAGCCGUGGGUCCUGGAUCUCCAGGGUUCAGGGAAAGCGAGAUCCUGAGAAGUCCCUGGACAGCAGGUGAUGGGCUGGUGAGGGAGAGCGAGGAGCAGAAUCCUCCCCAGGAAGAUGCUGAGCUCGCCGAAGCACAUGGGGAAUUACUGCAAAGAGCCAAAGGGAGCGUGUCCCGCCCCCGUGAGCAGGGAAAAGCUGGUGAAAGUUACCCCAGACCAGAGAGAGAGCAGGGAAACCACUCAGAGGAGAGAGUGGAUGAACCCAUGGAUUGUCAGGGAACUCACAGGGACCUCAAGGAAACUACAU
This is a long non-coding RNA of Mauremys reevesii (Reeves's turtle), 407 nucleotides long. RefSeq lists it as uncharacterized. The transcript is spliced from 3 exons. NCBI's taxonomy places the organism in Eukaryota, Metazoa, Chordata, Testudines, Geoemydidae. The record is from RefSeq and is a predicted model, not a curated record.